RNAcentral lists this transfer RNA (74 nucleotides) under Ixodes scapularis (black-legged tick). RNAcentral describes it as "tRNA-Ser for anticodon GGA". It matches the Rfam family "tRNA". From Rfam's summary of the family: Transfer RNA (tRNA) molecules are approximately 80 nucleotides in length. Their secondary structure includes four short double-helical elements and three loops (D, anti-codon, and T loops). The record is from RNAcentral. Lineage: Eukaryota; Metazoa; Arthropoda; Arachnida; Ixodida; Ixodidae.
UCCUUGUUAGCUCAGUUGGUAAAGCGCUCCACUGGAAAUGGAGAGGUCCUUGGUUUCGAUACAAAGACCAGGAG